This 406-nucleotide ribosomal RNA is filed under the name uncultured bacterium. RNAcentral's name for it is "partial 16S ribosomal RNA". It matches the Rfam family "Bacterial small subunit ribosomal RNA", at positions 30 to 526 of the family's 1533-position model. The record is from RNAcentral.
AUUGAACGCUGGCGGCAGGCCUAACACAUGCAAGUCGAACGAGUGGCGGACGGGUGAGUAAUGUCUGGGAAACUGCCUGAUGGAGGGGGAUAACUACUGGAAACGGUAGCUAAUACCGCAUACCAUCGGAUGUGCCCAGAUGGGAUUAGCUAGUAGGUGGGGUAACGGCUCACCUAGGCGACGAUCCCUAGCUGGUCUGAGAGGAUGACCAGCCACACUGGAACUGAGACACGGUCCAGACUCCUACGGGAGGCAGCAGUGGUGAAUAUUGCACAAUGGGCGAAAGCCUGAUCCAGCCAUGCCGCGUGUGUGAAGAAGGUCUUCGGAUUGUAAAGCACUUUCAGUUGGGAGGCGUUACCAACAGAAUAAGCACCGGCUAACUUCGUGCCAGCAGCCGCGGUAAUUC